AUAUGGGGUGAAAGCAUGGGGUUAAAAUGAAAAUAUCAGGGUAAAAUAGGGGGUUAAAAUGGGGUUAAAAAUAAAAUAUGGGGUUAAAAUAAGGGGUUAAAAUAAAGGGGGUUAAAGUUAAAAUAUGGGGUUAAAAUGGGGUUAAAAAUAAAACAUGGGGUUAAAGUUGAAAUACAGGGUUAAAAGAUGGGGUUAAAAUAGGGGGUUAAAGUUAAAAUAUGGGGUUAAAGUUUUGAGGUUAAAAUGGGGUUGAAGCAUGGGGUUAAAGUUAAAAUAUGAAGUUAAAAGAUAAGGGUAAAAUACGGGGUUAAAAUUAAAAUAUGACGUUAAAGCAUGGGGUUAAAAUUAAAAUAUGGGGUUGAAGGUAAAAUAUGGGGUUAAAGCAUGGGGUUAAAGUUAAAAUAGGGGUUUAAAACAUGGGAUUAAAGCAUAGAGUUAAAGUUAAAAGAUGGGGUUAAA
Long non-coding RNA from Passer domesticus (house sparrow), 459 nucleotides. RefSeq lists it as uncharacterized. Lineage: Eukaryota; Metazoa; Chordata; Aves; Passeriformes; Passeridae. The record is from RefSeq and is a predicted model, not a curated record. The transcript has 2 exons.